Long non-coding RNA from Toxorhynchites rutilus septentrionalis, 2596 nucleotides. RefSeq lists it as uncharacterized. The transcript has 5 exons. Lineage: Eukaryota; Metazoa; Arthropoda; Insecta; Diptera; Culicidae. The record is from RefSeq and is a predicted model, not a curated record.
CUUGCGGAACGAAUCACGCGGAAGCUGCCGCCAGUUAGCCGCACUGAAGGCAGAGACGCUUCAGGCGGUGGCGGCAAUGGUCUGCGGACAGGAGGACCCAACCAGAUGAUGUGUUGCCGCGGCGGAACCAUGCGGCGGAAAAUGCCAAAGGGGAAGCAAAAUUAGUGACAAUUACGGCGGCAUCUCUUUGCUGUCGGUCGGAGCUGUGAGCAAAAAGUGGCAAAUUCUCGAGCUGUGGCCGUGGCGCCACUUUCUUCAUUUCUUGGCUCGACCGCUGCCAUCCGGUGGAGAAAGUGCGAACUAAGAGGCCACAGUGUGCGAUGAAGUGCGAAGGAGUGUGACUCUGGUAGAAGCGGUGGUGUUGUUAUCUCUCGCGCGAGGUUGUGCAAGGAAGAAAAAAGGAACCCAAGAUCUUGACGGGGUAGAGCUGGAUGCAGAUAACGGCUGGCCGAGACUGGCUGGCCUGGUGCGCGUAGUGAAAGCGGGCAAUGUCGACCUGAUAAACACGGACCGAUAGUGAGCGUUGCAAGCGUUGUGCGUUUUUGGGGGGCACGCGAGGGGCCGUUAGAGGUACUCCCACCAAUGAUGACGAUGGUGAUGGCAGAGAGUUUUGCUGAUACCCCAAACGGUCAAACGACCACCACGCGAGAGUGAAUAAAACUUGUUAAUGUGAGAGAAACAGUUUGGUGGCGACUUUCGGCUUUGGAAGCAAGGUGGAAAACAAGGAAAAGACAUUCGCGCCGUGUGGACGGUUUCUGGUUGGAGCCAGCUCGCGUCAAGUUCUGAUCCCAAAUCACACAAGAGGAGACCCCUCUCAGCAGCAGCAGUGGUGUGGAUCGCCGUGUGGUGGAGCCUUCCGCGCAGUUAAUAUCGUUUUUGCUCUGGCAGUAGCUCCAUGGACCGCAGCAAGUGUGGACCGCGACGCUGCACCAAGUAAUACCACCAAUAACAACAACGUCAUCAUCAGAAAAGAGAAAAAAAAAGUGUUUGAACAACGAGUUAGAGAAAAGCUCCGCACGAAUAAGAAAAAUGUUACCCAAAAGCGAACACCACGAACAAGUCAAGUCGGAGGGAACUUUGGGAACUCUGGGCAACGUGAAAAUUUGUAGUUUUUUUUCGGUGGACAUUUGCGCGCAAACAUCAUCAAAGCCGUGAUCGAAGAAGUGACCGUAGGGAAAAAAUUGAAACAAAACAAAAGUCGCACGAAAACAAGUGAUACAUAGUGGACCACCCUGUGGGAUUAUUCAAAGGUCAAACACAGUGACAUAAAGCCGAUGGUUCCUAUUACUGCGUGAAACGAUAAUAAAAUGGAAGCAACAGGACGAACAGGAAUAGCACCCUCUUUUGGGAUUAGAGUCAAUUUAAGCCAAACAGAGCUUAAAACAAGACAUCAAUCAUCUUUAUUCCAGGAGUUACGUGAGAAAUCUAUCUGGUUCUUUGGCACUUCUGAUGCUAAUUGGAAUUGAACAACAACAACAAAUCAGAUAAGUUAAGCGUGCCGUGGCCUUGAGAAUGAAUUAGAGAGUAGUUUAUCCUAGCAAUAUUUAUGAACAACGCCGAUUAUUGAAGGAGACUGUCGGAUAAAAGCCGACAGUUAUCGACACGUUCAUUGUGUAGGGUUUGUUCGUUGCACCGAAUUGCUUCGAUGGAAUGUGUGUUUUGUAGCAUAAAAUUCGCAGCCAUUAACACUUUAAGGACCGGGAAGAAAUAUGUAAGACCGCACGUUUUGACUCGUGUGGAGUUGCUUGAUCUGCUUACAAGUUUUUAAGAGGCUUUAAACUUUGCAGUUCAUUCGCCUCUAUGUGUGAAGUUAGCGGAUGAAGGUUCAGCGGAUACAAGUUUUUGUUGCGUACAAGUUUCUGUUCAAUGUUUUGAAAAGUUAUAGACUGAAACGUGAGCAUGGGUCAAUAUAGGAAAAUAUACAGAAUUUUGAAAAUCAAAAAAAGUUGUUCGAAUAGAGUUAUCGAAGUUAUUCGAUAGAGAAAUAUUUCACCUAUCUUCCAGCCACAAUUUGAUUAAUCGGAAAAGGGUCUGAGAAAAGUUAUAGGCCAAGUUGUAUGGGUCAACCGCGAGUAAUCGGUUUUCUACCUUACUAACCAUAGAAUUAGGAAAUUGUUUAUAUAUACUUAUAAAAAUAUAGCUAAGAAUUCGGCUCCUUAAAACCUAGUAACUGAGCCUAAAAAUAAACGAAUUAAUAAAAAAAUAAAUUGUAUGGGAGAAAUGAAUUAUUUUGAAAGAAAAUUGAAAAAAGUUAUUUGAAAGGACCGAAAACACAUUCUCGAGAUAGUACUCAUUCGAUAAAGAAUAUUUUUAUUUAUCUUUAGCCAAAUUUUCAUUGGUCAGAAAAGGGUAUGACAAAAGUUAUUGGCCAAACCGUUCACGAGUUGUACGGGGGAAAGGGUCUGGCUGGGUAAGAAAGUGAAAAGUAAAAAGGAAGUAAAAAAUUUAAUUGUAUAGAAAUUUUGACAUUUUUUCGAAUCCCUAUCCAUAGGAUCUAUGGUAAUGAACGUACCUUUCAAUUUUUAGCACGCCAUUCUCAAUAGCUUUGAGACAAAACAUUGAAAAAAAAAUACUGAAAGUUCAUCUUACUAUGAUA